RNAcentral lists this long non-coding RNA (340 nucleotides) under Homo sapiens (human). RNAcentral's name for it is "HSALNT0395763". The record is from RNAcentral. Lineage: Eukaryota; Metazoa; Chordata; Mammalia; Primates; Hominidae.
GGGAGGCCGGGAGGGGUCCCUGGGCGGGGAGUUGCUGCGCAUCUGUUGUGUGUGUGCGUCUGUCUGUCUGUUCAGGUCUGUUUCAGGCUGUGUCUGUCUGUCUGUCCGGGUCUGUUUCAGGCUGUGUCUGUCUGUCUGUCCGGGUCUGUUUCAGGCUGUGUCUGUCUGUCUGUCCGGGUCUGUUUCAGGCUGUGUCUGUCUGUCUGUCUGGGUCUGUUUCAGGCUGUGUCUGUCUGUCUGUUUGUCUGGGUCUGUUUCAGGCUGUGUCUGUCUGUCCGGGUCUGUUUCAGGCUGUAUGUGUGUCUGCUCUUUGCUUCUGCUCCUGGCUCUGUGUGUAUUU